GAUGAACGCUGGCGGCGUGCCUAAUACAUGCCAGUCGAGCGAACAGACGAGGAGCUUGCUCCUUUGACGUUAGCGGCGGACGGGUGAGUAACACGUGGAUAACCUACCUAUAAGACUGGGAUAACUUCGGGAAACCGGAGCUAAUACCGGAUAACAUGUUGAACCGCAUGGUUCAACAGUGAAAGACGGUCUUGCUGUCACCUAUAGAUGGAUCCGCGCCGCAUUAGCUAGUUGGUAAGGUAACGGCUUACCAAGGCAACGAUGCGUAGCCGACCUGAGAGGGUGAUCGGCCACACUGGAACUGAGACACGGUCCAGACUCCUACGGGAGGCAGCAGUAGGGAAUCUUCCGCAAUGGGCGAAAGCCUGACGGAGCAACGCCGCGUGAGUGAAGAAGGUCUUCGGAUCGUAAAACUCUGUUAUUAGGGAAGAACAAAUGUGUAAGUAACUAUGCACGUCUUGACGGUACCUAAUCAGAAAGCCACGGCUAACUACGUG
RNAcentral lists this ribosomal RNA (497 nucleotides) under uncultured bacterium. RNAcentral's name for it is "partial 16S ribosomal RNA". It matches the Rfam family "Bacterial small subunit ribosomal RNA", at positions 28 to 507 of the family's 1533-position model. The record is from RNAcentral.